UCGCUCUUCAACGAGGAAUCCCUAGUAAGCGUGAGUCAUCAGCUCAUGCUGAUUACGUCCCUGCCCUUUGUACACACCGCCCGUCGCUACUACCGAUUGAAUGGCUUAGUGAGACCCUCGGAUCGACAAAUGGAAGCCUUAACCGGCAUCUGUUUGAUGAGAAGUUGGUCAAACUUGGUCAUUUAGAGGAAGUAAAAGUCGUAACAAGGUUUCCGUAGGUGAACCUGCGGAAGGAUCAUUAAAAAAUUUGAGGUAUUUUAUAUCUUGUAUUUAAAACCCAACUCUUUCAAACCUAAAUUUUUUAUAAUAAAAAUAAAAAAACUUUCAACAACGGAUCUCUUGGCUCUCGCAUCGAUGAAGAACGCAGCGAAAUGCGAAAAGUAAUGUGAAUUGCAGAAUUCCGUGAAUCAUUAAAUCUUUGAACGCAAAUUGCACUCCUUGGUAUUCCGAGGAGUACACUUGCUUGAGGGUCAGUUAAAAAAUAAUAUCGUUACAUCUUUUUGGUGUUGCGGAUCUGGGCUAUCCGGUUUUUAAGUCGGUUACCUAAAAUUAAAUAUUAUUAUAAUGUGAUACGUACUAAGAUAAAGGUCGUUAAUCAUUAAAAAUUUAAUAUAUAUUAUCUCUAAUUCUUUUUUAGUUGGUAGUGUAUAUAAUUUCUGAGAAUGACCUCAAGUCAAGUGAGAGUACCCGCUGAACUUAAGCAUAUCAAUAAGCGGAGGAAAAGAAACUAACAAGGAUUCCCCUAGUAACGGCGAGUGAAGCGGGAAGAGCACAAAUUUUAAAUCUACUUGGUUUUACCAGGUCGAGUUGUAAUUUGAAGAAACGUUUUUAAUGUUCCAGGUUGGUUUAAAUCCUUUGGGAUAAGGUAUCAUGGAGGGUGAGAAUCCCGUGUAUAUCAACCUCUGGAAUGUUAUCAAUACGUUUUCUAAGAGUCGAGUUGUUUGGGAAUGCAGCUCUAAAUGGGUGGUAAAUUUCACCUAAUGCUAAAUAUAAGCGAGAGACCGAUAGCGAACAAGUACCGUGAGGGAAAGAUGAAAAGAACUUUGAAAAGAGAGUUAAAUAGUACGUGAAAUUGUUGAAAGGGAAACGAUUGAAGUCAGUCAUGCCGGCAGGAAUCAAUUUUAUGGAAAGGGGAUUUUUUUGAACCUAACCUUGAAAUGCAUUUCUUUGCUUGGCAGGUUAGCGUCGAUUUUGAACGUCAUAAAAUGAUUGGGAGAAGGUAGCUCCUUCGGAGUGUUAUAGCUCUUAAUUAAUGUGAUGUUUGGGAUCGAGGGUUGCAACGGAUACCUUUUAGGCUAGCCGCCUGGCCUCUAAUUCGAUGUUGGGUUAUAGACAGCAUGCUGACUAUGAUCUAAUUAUUGAUUAAAAGGUUAGAGCGAGCAUAAAUUCGUUAAGGACGCUGACGUAAUGGCUUUAAACGACCCGUCUUGAAACACGGACCAAGGAGUCUAACAUGUGUGCGAGUGUU
This 1468-nucleotide ribosomal RNA is filed under the name Scutellospora alterata. RNAcentral describes it as "eukaryotic LSU rRNA". The stretch from base 664 to 1468 matches the Rfam family "Eukaryotic large subunit ribosomal RNA", at positions 1 to 694 of the family's 3401-position model. Lineage: Eukaryota; Fungi; Glomeromycota; Glomeromycetes; Diversisporales; Gigasporaceae. The record is from RNAcentral.